This 229-nucleotide ribosomal RNA is filed under the name uncultured bacterium. RNAcentral describes it as "partial 16S ribosomal RNA". It matches the Rfam family "Bacterial small subunit ribosomal RNA", at positions 568 to 796 of the family's 1533-position model. The record is from RNAcentral.
UGCGUAGGCGGACUAAUAAGUCAGUGGUGAAAUCUCUCGGCUCAACCGGGAAACUGCCAUUGAUACUGUUAGUCUUGAGUUCGGUUGAGGUAGGCGGAAUGUGUAAUGUAGCGGUGAAAUGCUUAGAUAUUACACAGAACGCCAAUUGCGUAGGCAGCUUACUAGACCGACACUGACGCUGAGGCACGAAAGCGUGGGUAGCGAACAGGAUUAGAUACCCUGGUAGUCC